UACGGAGGGUGCAAGCGUUAUCCGGAUUCACUGGGUUUAAAGGGUGCGUAGGCGGGUAAGUAAGUCCGUGGUGAAAUCUCUGAGCUUAACUCAGAAACUGCCGUGGAUACUAUUUGCCUUGAAUAUUGUGGAGGUGAGCGGAAUAUGUCAUGUAGCGGUGAAAUGCUUAGAUAUGACAUAGAACACCAAUUGCGAAGGCAGCUGGCUACACAAAUAUUGACACUGAGGCACGAAAGCGUGGGGAUCAAACAGG
RNAcentral lists this ribosomal RNA (253 nucleotides) under uncultured bacterium. Its description in RNAcentral is "partial 16S ribosomal RNA". It matches the Rfam family "Bacterial small subunit ribosomal RNA", at positions 524 to 776 of the family's 1533-position model. The record is from RNAcentral.